GACACGGGGUGCCGCUUGGCUGAGAUUAGACCCGUCGAACCUGAUCUAGUUAGGACUAGCGAAGGGAUGUCGC
Molecule: non-coding RNA, 73 nt
Filed under: uncultured Arthrobacter sp.
Lineage: Bacteria; Bacillati; Actinomycetota; Actinomycetes; Micrococcales; Micrococcaceae
Description: TPP riboswitch (THI element)
Rfam family: TPP riboswitch aptamer (THI element)
About the family: Vitamin B(1) in its active form thiamin pyrophosphate (TPP) is an essential coenzyme that is synthesised by coupling of pyrimidine and thiazole moieties in bacteria. The previously detected thiamin-regulatory element, thi box was extended, resulting in a new, highly conserved RNA secondary structure, the THI element, which is widely distributed in eubacteria and also occurs in some archaea.
Source: RNAcentral